This 440-nucleotide ribosomal RNA is filed under the name uncultured bacterium. RNAcentral's name for it is "partial 16S ribosomal RNA". It matches the Rfam family "Bacterial small subunit ribosomal RNA", at positions 338 to 795 of the family's 1533-position model. The record is from RNAcentral.
CCUACGGGUGGCAGCAGUGGGGGAUAUUGCACAAUGGGGGGAACCCUGAUGCAGCGACGCCGCGUGGGUGAAGGAGUGCUUCGGCAUGUAAAGCCCUAUCGGCAGGGAAGAAGCAAGACGGUACCUGACUAAGAAGCCCCGGCUAACUACGUGCCAGCAGCCGCGGUAAUACGUAGGGGGCGAGCGUUAUCCGGAUUUAUUGGGUUUAAAGGGUGCGUAGGCGGGUUAUCAAGUCAGCGGUAAAAUCGUGGAGCUCAACUCCAUCCAGCCGUUGAAACUGAUGAUCUUGAGUGGGCGAGAAGUAUGCGGAAUGCGUGGUGUAGCGGUGAAAUGCAUAGAUAUCACGCAGAACUCCGAUUGCGAAGGCAGCAUACCGGCGCCCGACUGACGCUGGAGCACGAAAGCGUGGGUAUCGAACAGGAUUAGAUACCCCUGUAGUC